AAAAAGCCUGAGAAAGGUCCCUUGCCCCUUCUGCCAUGUGAGGUUACAGUAAGAUGAUGGCUGUGAGAUCAUGAAGAGGAACUGGCCCUCAUCAAACACCAAAUCUUCUAGUGCCUUAAUCUUGGACUUCCUAUCUCCAGAACUGUGAGAAAUGAAUUUCUUUUGUUUAAAAGACACCUAGUCAAAGGUGUUUUUAUCCUAGUAGCCUGUGCAGACUAAAGCAAAUAGUUUCUCCUUAUCUCUAUCAUAAAUUUCUUAUGUUUCUUUUCAGUGGCACCUGGCUCCAUGUCCUGUGUAUGUCUGACUCCUAGAGGCCAGAGGGGCACACAAUCUCGAAGAUAAGAAGCUUCUGGAAAAUGCAAGCCCAGUUGUUUUGGUGGAUCCUUCUGAAUGAUUAUGCACAGGAAGCAAGCUGCCGUGUUUGAGCAGCCCUUAUGGAGAAGUCUGCAAGGCAAGGAACUGAAACCUCUGGCCAACAUCAAACGAGGAACUGAUGCCUGCCAACAACAACAGG
This is a non-coding RNA of Saimiri boliviensis boliviensis (Bolivian squirrel monkey), 514 nucleotides long. Lineage: Eukaryota; Metazoa; Chordata; Mammalia; Primates; Cebidae. The record is from RefSeq and is a predicted model, not a curated record.